UACGGAGGGUGCAAGCGUUAUCCGGAAUCACUGGGUUUAAAGGGUGCGUAGGCGGCUAUGUAAGUCAGUUGUGAAAUACCUCGGCUUAACCGAAGGACGUGCGAUUGAUACUGCGUAGCUUGAAUCAAGUUGAGGUAGGCGGAAUGUGACAUGUAGCGGUGAAAUGCUUAGAUAUGUCAUAGAACACCGAUUGCGAAGGCAGCUUACUGGGCUAUGACUGACGCUGAUGCACGAAAGCGUGGGGAGCAAACAGG
Molecule: ribosomal RNA, 254 nt
Filed under: uncultured bacterium
Lineage: Bacteria
Description: partial 16S ribosomal RNA
Rfam family: Bacterial small subunit ribosomal RNA
Source: RNAcentral